AUUUUUUAAGUAAUCUCUAUAUCCAACGUGGGGUUGAGCUCAUGACUCUGAGAUCAAAAGUCACAUGCUCUUCCAACUGAGACAGU
RNAcentral lists this small nucleolar RNA (86 nucleotides) under Ursus americanus (American black bear). Lineage: Eukaryota; Metazoa; Chordata; Mammalia; Carnivora; Ursidae. The record is from RNAcentral.